RNAcentral lists this ribosomal RNA (402 nucleotides) under uncultured bacterium. RNAcentral describes it as "bacterial SSU rRNA". It matches the Rfam family "Bacterial small subunit ribosomal RNA", at positions 29 to 414 of the family's 1533-position model. The record is from RNAcentral.
AAUCAACGCUGGCGGCGUGCCUAACACAUGCAAGUCGAACGCGAAAGUCCCGCAAGGGAUGAGUAGAGUGGCAAACGGGUGAGUAACACGUGGGUGACCUGCCUUCGAGCGGGGGAGUAACGUCCCGAAACGGGACGCUAAUACCGCAUGACAUCCUGCCUUUGAAGAGGUGGAGAUCAAAGCUGGGGAGUCGCAAGACCUAGCACUUGAAGAGGGGCCCGCGUCUGAUUAGCUAGUUGGUGGGGUAACGGCUCACCAAGGCAACGAUCAGUAUCCGGCCUGAGAGGGCGGACGGACACACUGGGACUGAGACACGGCCCAGACUCCUACGGGAGGCAGCAGUGGGGAAUUGUUCGCAAUGGGCGCAAGCCUGACGACGCAACGCCGCGUGGAGGAUGAAGA